GGAGCAAUACCUUCGGACUCAUAAUCCGUCGGCCGUGGGUUCGAGUCCCACCCGCCCCA
RNAcentral lists this transfer RNA (59 nucleotides) under Streptomyces sp. Ag109_O5-1. RNAcentral's name for it is "tRNA-Met". It matches the Rfam family "tRNA", at positions 15 to 71 of the family's 71-position model. From Rfam's summary of the family: Transfer RNA (tRNA) molecules are approximately 80 nucleotides in length. Their secondary structure includes four short double-helical elements and three loops (D, anti-codon, and T loops). Further hydrogen bonds mediate the characteristic L-shaped molecular structure. tRNAs have two regions of fundamental functional importance: the anti-codon, which is responsible for specific mRNA codon recognition, and the 3' end, to which the tRNAs corresponding amino acid is attached (by aminoacyl-tRNA synthetases). tRNAs cope with the degeneracy of the genetic code in two manners: having more than one tRNA (with a specific anti-codon) for a particular amino acid; and 'wobble' base-pairing, i.e. permitting non-standard base-pairing at the 3rd anti-codon position. Lineage: Bacteria; Bacillati; Actinomycetota; Actinomycetes; Kitasatosporales; Streptomycetaceae. The record is from RNAcentral.